GGAGGCUGGUUCCGCAGGCUCGGGCCCCCGCCACUCCCUCCCCGCCCCACGCCCAGGGUUGCCGAGGCGACGCGUGCGGGCGCCUGCCGGAGAAAGUCACGCGGGGCAACUUCUUAGCUAGAGUGACCGGUCGGUCGGUCUAGGGAGGAGAGGGUCGGCAUCGUGAGGUUUUGCCUUCGCGAUGUCCAGCAAAGCUGACAAAAAGCGGAAAGUGACUAGCCGGGGAAGUGCCCGCCGGCGAGCUGCCCAGUCUACUCUGGAUGCACAGGUCGAGGAGAUCACCUUGCCGGCCAGCAGCGAGGUCCAGGCGGAGCCGGAGACCGUCAAGGAGGAGCCUGAGCCAGUAUUGGAACAACCUGAAAUACAGAAAGAAGAAUUAGAGGAGCGUGAGGUAGAUGUGGUAAGUUUGGGUUGUUGUUGAAACAAGUAUUCCUCACCAGCGAUUGGUGAUUCAAAGCAUCAGUUGCAGAAUGGUGUUUGAGGAAUUCUCUUCUUCAGUCUCUCACUUGAUACCUUUUCUUUCUACCAGCAGAAACUGGUAGCCUGCUCACUGCAAAUCCAGUACACUGAGUAAAGGGCAGAGUUAUCCAUGCCCCCUACUCCUCCAGAAGAAGAGAGCUUUCAGGAGGGAACAGGACUUUUAGCAGGCCCUUCCUCGUCUCUCCAUCUUGGGUCAAAAUGUGACAAGCUUUAUCUGUCGAAUGGGUGAAAUCUGGACAUGUUGAACAAGCUGGCAGACACUGUCCUAAUUUCUAAGACAUCCUCUUUCUUCCUGUCCUUUGGUGCUCUCCUUUGGCUGAAAAGUUUACAGAAGCCACUUGAAAUACUUUCAGAAAUUGACACUCCAUGACCUGUAUACCUUUAUUUUCAAGCUGCAUCAGAGCCUGGGGACAACUUCUAACCUGGAUUAGAAGAAUAGUGACCUUGAACUUUCUAGAAAGGGAGAGCAAAAUAACAACUACUCAUUAAAGAAAAAAACUGGAAGGGAUAGAAAGCUAAAACAAAGAAAGGGAAAAUGAAGUUAUGACUAAACACAUUCAAUAUUAAUAAUUGGGUAUAUGUCCUUUCUUUCUGUAGAUUUGAGAGUUAUUUUGUUUUCUAACAAUCUUAACUAUACUAC
RNAcentral lists this long non-coding RNA (1120 nucleotides) under Bos indicus x Bos taurus (hybrid cattle). Its description in RNAcentral is "lncRNA (ENSBIXG00000014114.1)". The record is from RNAcentral. Lineage: Eukaryota; Metazoa; Chordata; Mammalia; Artiodactyla; Bovidae.